CAGAUUGAACGCUGGCGGCAGGCCUAACACAUGCAAGUCGAGCGGCAGCACAAGGGAGUUUACUCCUGAGGUGGCGAGCGGCGGACGGGUGAGUAAUGCCUAGGGAUCUGCCCAGUCGAGGGGGAUAACAGUUGGAAACGACUGCUAAUACCGCAUACGCCCUACGGGGGAAAGAGGGGGACCUUCGGGCCUCUCGCGAUUGGAUGAACCUAGGUGGGAUUAGCUAGUUGGUGAGGUAAUGGCUCACCAAGGCGACGAUCCCUAGCUGUUCUGAGAGGAUGAUCAGCCACACUGGGACUGAGACACGGCCCAGACUCCUACGGGAGGCAGCAGUGGGGAAUAUUGCACAAUGGGGGAAACCCUGAUGCAGCCAUGCCGCGUGUGUGAAGAAGGCCUUCGGGUUGUAAAGCACUUUCAGUAGGGAGGAAAGGGUGAGUCUUAAUACGGCUCAUCUGUGACGUUACCUACAGAAGAAGGACCGGCUAACUCCGUGCCAGCAGCCGCGGUAAUACGGAGGGUCCGAGCGUUAAUCGGAAUUACUGGGCGUAAAGCGUGCGCAGGCGGUUUGUUAAGCGAGAUGUGAAAGCCCUGGGCUCAACCUAGGAAUAGCAUUUCGAACUGGCGAACUAGAGUCUUGUAGAGGGGGGUAGAAUUCCAGGUGUAGCGGUGAAAUGCGUAGAGAUCUGGAGGAAUACCGGUGGCGAAGGCGGCCCCCUGGACAAAGACUGACGCUCAUGCACGAAAGCGUGGGGAGCAAAA
RNAcentral lists this ribosomal RNA (759 nucleotides) under uncultured bacterium. RNAcentral describes it as "bacterial SSU rRNA". It matches the Rfam family "Bacterial small subunit ribosomal RNA", at positions 25 to 773 of the family's 1533-position model. The record is from RNAcentral.